GACGAACGCUGGCGGCGUGCUUAACACAUGCAAGUCGAACGGAAAGGCCCUGCUUUUGUGGGGUGCUCGAGUGGCGAACGGGUGAGUAACACGUGAGUAACCUGCCCUUGACUUUGGGAUAACUUCAUGAAACUGGGGCUAAUACCGGAUAGGAUCUCCUGCUGCAUGGUGGGGGUUGGAAAGUUUCGGCGGUUGGGGAUGGACUCGCGGCUUAUCAGCUUGUUGGUGGGGUAGUGGCUUACCAAGGCUUUGACGGGUAGCCGGCCUGAGAGGGUGACCGGACAAAUUGGGACUGAGAUACGGCCCAGACUCCUACGGGAGGCAGCAGUGGGGAAUAUUGCACAAUGGGAGGAAGCAUGAUGCAGCAACGCCGCGUGCGGGAUGACGGCCUUCGGGUUAUAAACCGCUUUCGCCUGUGACGAAGCGUGAGUGACGGUAAUGGGUAAAGAAGCACCGGCUAACUACGUG
This 468-nucleotide ribosomal RNA is filed under the name uncultured bacterium. RNAcentral's name for it is "partial 16S ribosomal RNA". It matches the Rfam family "Bacterial small subunit ribosomal RNA", at positions 28 to 507 of the family's 1533-position model. The record is from RNAcentral.